CCGAGUUUACAACUCCCAAACCCCUGUGAACAUACCACUUGUUGCCUCGGCGGAUCAGCCCGCUCCCGGUAAAACGGGACGGCCCGCCAGAGGACCCCUAAACUCUGUUUCUAUAUGUAACCUCUGAGUAAAACCAUAAAUAAUCA
Molecule: unclassified non-coding RNA, 146 nt
Filed under: soil metagenome
Description: partial internal transcribed spacer 1
Source: RNAcentral